UCGCUUAACACAUGCAAGUCGAACGGUAACAGGCCUUCGGGUGCUGACGAGUGGCGGACGGGUGAGUAACGCGUAGGAAUCUGCCUCAUAGUGGGGGACAACGUGGGGAAACUCACGCUAAUACCGCAUACGCCCUACGGGGGAAAGGAGGGGAUCUUCGGACCUUUCGCUAUGAGAUGAGCCUGCGUUAGAUUAGCUAGUUGGUAGGGUAAAGGCCUACCAAGGCGACGAUCUAUAGCUGGUCUGAGAGGACGAUCAGCCACACUGGGACUGAGACACGGCCCAGACUCCUACGGGAGGCAGCAGUGGGGAAUAUUGGACAAUGGGCGAAAGCCUGAUCCAGCAAUACCGCGUGUGUGAAGAAGGCCUUAGGGUUGUAAAGCACUUUCAAUUGGGAGGAAAACCUGCCGGCCAAUACCCGGUAGCUUGACAUUACCUUUAGAAGAAGCACCGGCUAACUCCGUGCCAGCAGCCGCGGUAAUACGGAGGGUGCGAGCGUUAAUCGGAAUUACUGGGCGUAAAGCGUGCGUAGGCGGUUCGUUAAGUCAGAUGUGAAAGCCCUGGGCUCAACCUGGGAACUGCAUUUGAAACUGGCGGACUAUAGUUUAGUAGAGGGGAGUGGAAUUUCAGGUGUAGCGGUGAAAUGCGUAGAUAUCUGAAGGAACACCAGUGGCGAAGGCGACUCCCUGGACUAGAACUGACGCUGAGGUACGAAAGCGUGGGUAGCAAACAGGAUUAGAUACCCUGGUAGUCCACGCCGUAAACGAUGUCGACUAGCCGUUGGCCCCUAUUUACAGGGGUUAGUGGCGCAGCUAACGCCAUUAGAGUCGAC
This 832-nucleotide ribosomal RNA is filed under the name uncultured Gammaproteobacteria bacterium. RNAcentral's name for it is "bacterial SSU rRNA". It matches the Rfam family "Bacterial small subunit ribosomal RNA", at positions 44 to 869 of the family's 1533-position model. The record is from RNAcentral. Lineage: Bacteria; Pseudomonadati; Pseudomonadota; Gammaproteobacteria.